CAGCCUGGCCUUGAAUGCUUUCAGGCAUGGGGCAUUCAUAACCUCUCUGGGCAACCUGUUACAGUGUCUUUGAAGGCUUUGAGCAUUACUUGACUGCUGUAUUUCGGCAGUAUUAAUCUUCUCUUGCUCCUCAAGAUGUAAUUCAGCCGGUCUCCAGCCUUGCCCUCAACACUGCCACUGUGCCGUUUCUGUGAUCCUCCAAUACAGGAAUCUGUGGAGCAUGCCUCAACACUCACUCUUAAAAAUAAGGAGGAUCUGGUACCUAGCCAUAAACUGCUGAGUGCUGUUCCACUUCUACAGCAGUGGCCUCAGCCGUUCAGUUUCCUCAGUGCUGAAAGACAUCCAGCUAGUAUUCCUUUUCAUUCACUUACAGCAACCACUACAGUUUUCCUGUUCUAUUUAUGCCUAACACUGUCCCUUUUAAAUAAUAUUUGAUUACUUAUAUAAAAACAAUAUAUAAUAUUUGAGUAAUAAUAAUAAUUAAUAGUUCCAAAAAGUGUAUCAAAGCAACUACCUGCACUUAUGCCUCUACCUUGUGUUCCUUCUUCUACUACCAAUCCCAAUUUGCAGACACCUGAAUGUAAAAACUUUACACUUUCCCAAGCUCAUCAAAUCCCUUCACACACAUUUACAAAACAGAUGAAUGACAAAGAACCAUAUAGAUAAAUAUCCAAAGCAUUUGCUAUGAAUAAUUAGCAAAGUGUGAAUUUCUGAUGGACACUUGCUGGAAGCGAUGGAAGAUAUUUUGGAUAUGAUUUCCCAAAUAAGCUUUGAAGUGAUUCGGGAGCUUAAGUGCCAGCAACUUACAGUGAGAUUUUACACUCCUGAACUUCCAUUGUAGAAUCUAUUUUACAUGACUAAAAGCUUUUAGUUGCAUUGUCAAUACCUGUGAGACUACUGCGACCAUGCAGCAAGCCACAAAGAACCAGGCUGGAAACACUGCUGACCCAGUUUCAGUUUCAUACAGACCUUACAUUGAGGAGCAACUAAUAUCUGCAAUGCAUAAAAAUGUAAUUGAGAUCCUCUGGAUGGAGUAACCCGCUCUAAUGUGUGCUUGUACGCUGACUUUACAACACUAUUUAGCAGACCCAGGGAUAAAAAUGCAUCGCUGAGACAAGCGGCCUGAAAUCCUGAGGACUUUGCCACAUUCCCAGACCUCAACUCCCAGAGGCAGUAGCAACUGCAUCUGCAACCUUCAGGCUACAAUGUAAAAAGAUCUACUGCUUGAAUUAGCUUUUAGAACUUUAGGAAAGGAUUUAUGCAUUAAAAUUUCACUCAGUAGAAUGAAGACAAUGUUUUCCUUUCUCUUUUGCACAAAAUGAGAGAGAAACAACGUACAUGAAGACCCUGAAUCUGCAAUACUCAGGAGGAUAAAAACAAAUGAAGAAAAAACAAAAAGUAAGAAGGUGCCAGUUCAGGAGUGCUGCCAGG
Meleagris gallopavo (turkey) is the source of this 1431-nucleotide long non-coding RNA. RefSeq lists it as uncharacterized. The record is from RefSeq and is a predicted model, not a curated record. Lineage: Eukaryota; Metazoa; Chordata; Aves; Galliformes; Phasianidae.